AGUGAACGCUGGCGGUAGGCCUAACACAUGCAAGUCGAACGGCAGCACAGGAGAGCUUGCUCUCUGGGUGGCGAGUGGCGGACGGGUGAGGAAUACAUCGGAAUCUACUCUGUCGUGGGGGAUAACGUAGGGAAACUUACGCUAAUACCGCAUACGACCUACGGGUGAAAGCAGGGGACCUUCGGGCCUUGCGCGAUUGAAUGAGCCGAUGUCGGAUUAGCUAGUUGGCGGGGUAAAGGCCCACCAAGGCGACGAUCCGUAGCUGGUCUGAGGGAAUGAUCAGCCACACUGGAACUGAGACACGGUCCAAACUCCUCCGGGAGGCAGCAGUGGGGAAUAUUGGACAAUGGGCGCAAGCCUGUUCCAGCCAUACCGCGUGGGUGAAGAAGGCCUUCGGGUUGUAAAGCCCUUUUGUUGUGAAAGAAAUCCAGCUGGCUAAUACCCGGUUGGGAUGACGGUACCCAAAGAAUAAGCACCGGCUAACUUCGUGCCAGCCGCCGCCGUAA
Molecule: ribosomal RNA, 506 nt
Filed under: uncultured bacterium
Lineage: Bacteria
Description: partial 16S ribosomal RNA
Rfam family: Bacterial small subunit ribosomal RNA
Source: RNAcentral